This 253-nucleotide ribosomal RNA is filed under the name uncultured bacterium. Its description in RNAcentral is "partial 16S ribosomal RNA". It matches the Rfam family "Bacterial small subunit ribosomal RNA", at positions 524 to 776 of the family's 1533-position model. The record is from RNAcentral.
UACGUAGGUGGCAAGCGUUGUCCGGAAUUAUUGGGCGUAAAGCGCGCGCAGGCGGUUCUUUAAGUCUGAUGUGAAAGCCCACGGCUCAACCGUGGAGGGUCAUUGGAAACUGGAGAACUUGAGUACAGAAGAGGAAAGCGGAAUUCCAGGUGUAGCGGUGAAAUGCGUAGAUAUCUGGAGGAACACCGGUGGCGAAGGCGGCGUUCUGGACUGCAACUGACACUGAGGAACGAAAGCCAGGGGAGCAAACGGG